Molecule: ribosomal RNA, 253 nt
Filed under: uncultured bacterium
Lineage: Bacteria
Description: partial 16S ribosomal RNA
Rfam family: Bacterial small subunit ribosomal RNA
Source: RNAcentral
UACAGAGGUCUCAAGCGUUGUUCGGAUUCAUUGGGCGUAAAGGGUGCGUAGGUGGUGGCGCAAGUCUGGUGUGAAAUCUCGGAGCUUAACUCCGAAAUGGCACCGGAUACUGCAUUACUCGAGGACUGUAGAGGAGAUCGGAAUUCACGGUGUAGCAGUGAAAUGCGUAGAUAUCGUGAGGAAGACCAGUUGCGAAGGCGGAUCUCUGGGCAGUUCCUGACACUGAGGCACGAAGGCCAGGGGAGCAAACGGG